UACGGAGGGUGCAAGCGUUUAUCCGGAUUCACUGGGUUUAAAGGGUGCGUAGGUGGAUCGGUAAGUCCGUGGUGAAAUCCCCGAGCUUAACUCGGGAACUGCCGUGGAUACUAUCGAUCUUGAAUACUGUGGAGGUAAGCGGAAUAUGUCAUGUAGCGGUGAAAUGCUUAGAUAUGACAUAGAACACCGAUAGCGAAGGCAGCUUGCUACACAGUUAUUGACACUGAGGCACGAAAGCGUGGGGAGCAAACAGG
This 254-nucleotide ribosomal RNA is filed under the name uncultured bacterium. RNAcentral describes it as "partial 16S ribosomal RNA". It matches the Rfam family "Bacterial small subunit ribosomal RNA", at positions 524 to 776 of the family's 1533-position model. The record is from RNAcentral.